Molecule: ribosomal RNA, 497 nt
Filed under: uncultured bacterium
Lineage: Bacteria
Description: partial 16S ribosomal RNA
Rfam family: Bacterial small subunit ribosomal RNA
Source: RNAcentral
GAUGAACGCUGGCGGCGUGCCUAAUACAUGCAAGUCGAGCGAACAGAUGAGGAGCUUGCUCCUCUGACGUUAGCGGCGGACGGGUGAGUAACACGUGGAUAACCUACCUAUAAGACUGGGAUAACUUCGGGAAACCGGAGCUAAUACCGGAUAAUAUAUUGAACCGCAUGGUUCAAUAGUGAAAGACGGUUUUGCUGUCACUUAUAGAUGGAUCCGCGCCGCAUUAGCUAGUUGGUAAGGUAACGGCUUACCAAGGCAACGAUGCGUAGCCGACCUGAGAGGGUGAUCGGCCACACUGGAACUGAGACACGGUCCAGACUCCUACGGGAGGCAGCAGUAGGGAAUCUUCCGCAAUGGGCGAAAGCCUGACGGAGCAACGCCGCGUGAGUGAUGAAGGUCUUCGGAUCGUAAAACUCUGUGAUUAGGGAAGAACAAAUGUGUAAGUAACUAUGCACGUCUUGACGGUACCUAAUCAGAAAGCCACGGCUAACUACGUG